CCUAGGGAGGCAGCAGUGAGGAAUAUUGGUCAAUGGGCGAGAGCCUGAACCAGCCAAGUCGCGUGAAGGAUGAAGGAUCUAUGGUUUGUAAACUUCUUUUAUAUGGGAAUAAAGUGAGGAACGUGUUCCUUUUUGUAUGUACCAUAUGAAUAAGCAUCGGCUAACUCCGUGCAAGCAGCCGCGGUAAUACGGAGGAUGCGAGCGUUAUCCGGAUUUAUUGGGUUUAAAGGGUGCGUAGGCGGGCUUUUAAGUCAGCGGUAAAAAUUCGGGGCUCAACCCCGUCCGGCCGUUGAAACUGGGGGCCGUGAGUGGGCGAGAAGAAGGCGGAAUGCGUGGUGUAGCGGUGAAAUGCAUAGAUAUCACGCAGAACCCCGAUUGCGAAGGCAGCCUUCCGGCGCCCUACUGACGCUGAGGCACGAAAGUGCGGGGAUCGAACAGGAUUAGAUACCCUAGUAGUC
This 458-nucleotide ribosomal RNA is filed under the name uncultured bacterium. RNAcentral describes it as "partial 16S ribosomal RNA". It matches the Rfam family "Bacterial small subunit ribosomal RNA", at positions 338 to 795 of the family's 1533-position model. The record is from RNAcentral.